AUACGGAGGGUGCAAGCGUUACUCGGAAUCACUGGGCGUAAAGCGCGCGCAGGCGGCUAUUUAAGUUGGAUGUGAAAGCCUACGGCUCAACCGUAGAACUGCAUCCAAAACUAUUUAGCUAGAGUGUGGGAGAGGAAGAUGGAAUUAGUUGUGUAGGGGUAAAGUCCGUAGAGAUAAAUAGGAAUACCAAAAGCGAAGGCAAUCUUCUGGAACACUACUGACGCUGAGGCGCGAAAGCGUGGGGAGCAAACAGGAUUAGAAACCCUAGUAGUCC
Molecule: ribosomal RNA, 274 nt
Filed under: uncultured bacterium
Lineage: Bacteria
Description: partial 16S ribosomal RNA
Rfam family: Bacterial small subunit ribosomal RNA
Source: RNAcentral